GAGUUUGAUCAUGGCUCAGAUUGAACGCUGGCGGCAUGCCUUACACAUGCAAGUCGAACGGCAGCACGGGUGCUUGCACCUGGUGGCGAGUGGCGAACGGGUGAGUAAUACAUCGGAACAUGUCCUGUAGUGGGGGAUAGCACGGCGAAAGCCGGAUUAAUACCGCAUACGAUCUACGGAUGAAAGCGGGGGACCUUCGGGCCUCGCGCUAUAGGGUUGGCCGAUGGCUGAUUAGCUAGUUGGUGGGGUAAAGGCCUACCAAGGCGACGAUCAGUAGCUGGUCUGAGAGGACGACCAGCCACACUGGGACUGAGACACGGCCCAGACUCCUACGGGAGGCAGCAGUGGGGAAUUUUGGACAAUGGGCGAAAGCCUGAUCCAGCAAUGCCGCGUGUGUGAAGAAGGCCUUCGGGUUGUAAAGCACUUUUGUCCGGAAAGAAAUCCUUGGCUCUAAUACAGUCGGGGGAUGACGGUACCGGAAGAAUAAGCACCGGCUAACUACGUGCCAGCAGCCGCGGUAAUACGUAGGGUGCGAGCGUUAAUCGGAAUUACUGGGCGUAAAGCGUGCGCAGGCGGUUUGCUAAGACCGAUGUGAAAUCCCCGGGCUCAACCUGGGAACUGCAUUGGUGACUGGCAGGCUAGAGUAUGGCAGAGGGGGGUAGAAUUCCACGUGUAGCAGUGAAAUGCGUAGAGAUGUGGAGGAAUACCGAUGGCGAAGGCAGCCCCCUGGGCCAAUACUGACGCUCAUGCACGAAAGCGUGGGGAGCAAACAGGAUUAGAUACCCUGGUAGUCCACGCCCUAAACGAUGUCAACUAGUUGUUGGGGAUUCAUUUCCUUAGUAACGUAGCUAACGCGUGAAGUUGACCGCCUGGGGAGUACGGUCGCAAGAUUAAAACUCAAAGGAAUUGACGGGGACCCGCACAAGCGGUGGAUGAUGUGGAUUAAUUCGAUGCAACGCGAAAAACCUUACCUACCCUUGACAUGGUCGGAAUCCCGCUGAGAGGUGGGAGUGCUCGAAAGAGAACCGGCGCACAGGUGCUGCAUGGCUGUCGUCAGCUCGUGUCGUGAGAUGUUGGGUUAAGUCCCGCAACGAGCGCAACCCUUGUCCUUAGUUGCUACGCAAGAGCACUCUAAGGAGACUGCCGGUGACAAACCGGAGGAAGGUGGGGAUGACGUCAAGUCCUCAUGGCCCUUAUGGGUAGGGCUUCACACGUCAUACAAUGGUCGGAACAGAGGGUUGCCAACCCGCGAGGGGGAGCUAAUCCCAGAAAACCGAUCGUAGUCCGGAUUGCACUCUGCAACUCGAGUGCAUGAAGCUGGAAUCGCUAGUAAUCGCGGAUCAGCAUGUCGCGGUGAAU
Molecule: ribosomal RNA, 1359 nt
Filed under: unidentified marine bacterioplankton
Lineage: Bacteria
Description: bacterial SSU rRNA
Rfam family: Bacterial small subunit ribosomal RNA
Source: RNAcentral